GCCAUCUUGGGCUGAGUGUCCGCGGCUGUAGCGCUUCCCCACGCGCAGUGCGCUGAGGUGCCGGCGCAGCCAUUUUGCCCCAGGAACUCUGGUCUGAAGGGCUGGGUGCGAGGCCUCCGCCCGAGGCAGCCUGUGAGCCACUGACACCAGAUGAAGCACAAAGGAAAACAAAAAGAUAAUAAAGAUGUCAAGUCGCUGCAUGUGAUCCUUGCUGGGAAGGAAAGGGACCAUGGUGUCAUGAGAGGGGCUUUGGGUGACCUGACCUGGGUCCUGGACCAAGAUCUGGGGAUGAGGAGAGACACAGAAGAAUCCUCGUGGAGGUGACGUUUCACCUGAGACAUGCCAGGUACCUGGUCUGAUUGCCAAGCAUCCAAGGAGGCCCCUGGGCGUGUUUGGAGGCUGGAGCCAUCAGCCUCAGAUUUCAGCACCAAGCUCUGUCCUCAAGAUCCUUCUCCAAUUGCUUGGACGAACUCAAGCCACCAGUGACACUUUGAACACAUUGCUCUGCUUUGAUCUACUGCUUCAGAGAUGAUGGCGUUCCUUUACAUACUUCAUCAAGCGACAGGCUUACCCAGCGGAAUGCAAAGGCCCAGGGAACUGGGGACCUCGUUUAGUUCCCUGGAGCCCAGUGGCACCAGCACUACGUGGUACAGAGUCACCACUAGUCGACCUUGGUCGGGUGGAUGCAGUGUCUGUCUGCAGAAUGCGUGGUGGAGAUGGUUCUGGAAUCUCCUGGAAGACACAGCUGAUAAGGACAUAUUCGCAGCAUCUGGACUGUUUCAACAUGGGGUCUCUGGAAGGUGAUGGGAAGGGCCUGCAGGACCACUUAAGACCCCAUCAGACUGAUUCUUUGGUUAGGAGUUAUCACUGCUUCCUGAACUCCCCAAGUCACCAUUCCUCAGGUUUUGUUUGCCCUUUGCCCAAGGAUUCCCUUCGAAAGCUCCAUCUGGCUUAGAACCUGACAGACCGCACUGGCUCCAGCCUCCAAGGUGAGAAUUCAGGAAGCAAACGUCGCUUGAGUGCUUGAAGCAUGCCAGGCAUUGUGCCAGCUCUGGGAUUCGUCAGGGGACAGGACACAGGUGUCCCCAUCUUUACAUGUUAGUGGAGGGUGAGAGAGUGAAGAUGCAAACUUGCAAAUGAACAUACUUGCAGCACCCUGAAGGAAAUGCAUGCGUCAGGGGAUUGUCAGAACGGGUGGGAGCCACUGAAACAGCGUGAUGAAGGAGGCCUCUCUGGGGAGGUGACAUGUGAGUUCUGAAGGGCAAGGAAGACGGGAUUACCCUUGGAGUGGCUCUGUAGCAGAGGUGGCGUCUGUCUCCCUGAGGCUCCCAGGAUGCAGAGGGGAGCAGGAUACUCCUGACCAAGCCAAGGACUGCUUAGUCUCGAGGAUAGAGAGUUGCUUCAAAGAUGUACAAAGAAUGAAAACCACACAAGUAGUUCUCCUGGGCAUCCAUGGGCUAGAAGGAAUCAAGGGUGUGUUCUCAAAGAGGAGGCCUCUGUUCCCCGGGUUACUUCAUGGUCAGAAGUGGUGGCCCCAGCUCCAGCGCGUCCCGCUAUCCAGCCCUCAGGAAAGAGGAAGAGAUGGAGCCGAAUGGGGACAAGGGAACACUCCAGGUUUCUUCUAAGGAAGUUUCCAUUUUUACUCCUUCAGUUAUAAGCCAUCCUUGGCUGCAACUUUUUUUCUGACAGGUUCAGGAUUUUAAAACUUGAUUGACAAAUACUAUGUAAUAAUCGCUGAUUAACAGUUAAUAUUUAACUAGUGAUUACCAUGUGCCAAGUACACUUUAAAAAAAAAAGUAUUUAUUCCACAUAUGUAGCUCUCAAAGCAAUCCCAUUGUGGUUACUAAAUAAUGUCUCCUUGAAGAUGGCCAUGUCCUCAUCUCCAGAACCUGUGAAUAUGUUGUUGUGCCUGGAGAAGGAAACGUCGCAGGUGUGAUAGAAGGCUCUUGAGCUGGGUCGACUGGCCUGGAUUAUCCAGGUGGGCUCAGGGCCAUCGCAGGAGGCCGAGGAAGAAAAGACACAGUGCUGCUUGCUUUCAGGUUGGAAGAAGGGAUCUUGAGCCAAGAAGUGCAGUCUGUCUGCAGAAGCCAGAAAAGGGAAGGACACGGGUUCUCCCUGAGAGCCUGUAGAAGGAGUGUGGUGUUGUGGAAUGAUUGUAGACUUCUGACCUCCAGUGUGUUCUUUUUAGCCGCUAAGUGUGUGGCAGUCUGUUACAGCAGCCAUUGGAAACAGUACCCCUGUCAUGUAGAUACUGUUAUCCCCACUCACAAAGGAGGAAAUUGAAGCAUAGAGAGGCUUAGUCACUUGCUCAAGAUCACACAGCUCACUGGUGGGGGAAAGUGCAGACCUGAAGCCGGCAGUCCUGCUCUGGAGACUACCUCAUAGCCACUGCUUACUUCAUGGAAUGAAUACGCAUGUGGUCUGUAUGGGGGUUGCUUUGAUUUUGUUUACCUUUUUUUUUUUUUUUCCUCGCUUUUUAGGGCCACGCCCUUGGCAUAUGGAGGUUCCCAGGCUAGGGGUCAAAUCGGAGCUACAGCUCCUGGUCUACAUCACAGCCAAAAAAUAUAUUUCAAAUAUAUUUCAAAAUAUGAAACUUUAUUUCAUAUUUUGCAGAAUUUAAAACACAUCUGAAAGCAAAGAGACUGAUGUGAUGCAGUCCCAUGUACCCAGUGCUCACCCUCAAUGCCUAUGGCCUAACUUGUUUCACCUACAGCCUCCUCUCCUCCCCCCCCCUUUAUUUAUUUAUUUGAAGUGAAUCCCAAAUAUUGUAUCACUUAAUUUGUACAUUUUUCUAAAAAAGUCUCUUUUGUAUCAUAAUCACCAUCUCUAAAAUUCUGAUUUUUAAUACUUUAAUAUCAUCAAAUGCCCAGUUUUCAAAUUUACCCAAUUGUGUCUUCUUUCCAUUUGGUUUCUUUGAAUUAGGAUCCAAACAAGGUCUAUAUAUUUCCUUUAAUUCAUGUGUCUUUUGAGUUUGUUUUAGUUUAUAAAGGAACCGUUCAGGAGUUCCCGUCGUGGUGCAGUGGUCAACGAAUCUGACUAGGAACCGUGAGGUUGUGGGUUCAG
This is a non-coding RNA of Sus scrofa (pig), 3063 nucleotides long. NCBI's taxonomy places the organism in Eukaryota, Metazoa, Chordata, Mammalia, Artiodactyla, Suidae. The record is from RefSeq and is a predicted model, not a curated record.